AGUGAACGCUGGCGGUAGGCCUAACACAUGCAAGUCGAACGGCAGCACAGUAAGAGCUUGCUCUUACGGGUGGCGAGUGGCGGACGGGUGAGGAAUACAUCGGAAUCUACUUUUUCGUGGGGGAUAACGUAGGGAAACUUACGCUAAUACCGCAUACGACCUACGGGUGAAAGCAGGGGCUCUUCGUACCUUGCGCGAUUGAAUGAGCCGAUGUCGGAUUAGCUAGUUGGCGGGGUAAAGGCCCACCAAGGCGACGAUCCGUAGCUGGUCUGAGAGGAUGAUCAGCCACACUGGAACUGAGACACGGUCCAGACGCCUACGGGAGGCAGCAGUGGGGAAUAUUGGACAAUGGGCGCAAGCCUGAUCCAGCCAUACCGCGUGGGUGAAGAAGGCCUUCGGGUUGUAAAGCCCUUUUGUUGGGAAAGAAAAGCAGCAGGUUAAUACCCCGCUGUUCUGACGGUACCCAAAGAAUAAGCACCGGCUAACUUCGUG
This 492-nucleotide ribosomal RNA is filed under the name uncultured bacterium. Its description in RNAcentral is "partial 16S ribosomal RNA". It matches the Rfam family "Bacterial small subunit ribosomal RNA", at positions 29 to 507 of the family's 1533-position model. The record is from RNAcentral.